AACCCUGCCUUGUAGCGGGGGUAUAACUAUUGGAAACGAUAGCUAAUACCGCAUAACAAUGGAUGAACACAUGUCAUUUAUUUGAAAAGGGGCAAUUGCUCCACUACAAAGAUGGACCUGCGUUGUAUUAGCUAGUAGGUGAGGUAACGGCUCACCUAGGCGACGAUACAUAGCCGACCUGAGAGGGUGAUCGGCCACACUGGGACUGAGACACGGCCCAGACUCCUACGGGAGGCAGCAGUAGGGAAUCUUCGGCAAUGGGGGCAACCCUGACCGAGCAACGCCGCGUGAGUGAAGAAGGUUUUCGGAUCGUAAAGCUCUGUUGUAAGUCAAGAACGAGUGUGAGAGUGGAAAGUUCACACUGUGACGGUAGCUUACCAGAAAGGGACGACUAACUACGUGCCAGCAGCCGCGGUAAUACGUAGGUCCCGAGCGUUGUCCGGAUUUAUUGGGCGUAAAGCGAGCGCAGGCGGUUUGAUAAGUCUGAAGUUAAAGGCUGUGGCUCAACCAUAGUUCGCUUUGGAAACUGUCAAACUUGAGUGCAGAAGGGGAGAGUGGAGUUCCAUGUGUAGCGGUGAAAUGCGUAGAUAUAUGGAGGAACACCGGUGGCGAAAGCGGCUCUCUGGUCUGUAACUGACGCUGAGGCUCGAAAGCGUGGGGAGCGAACAGG
This 670-nucleotide ribosomal RNA is filed under the name uncultured Streptococcus sp. RNAcentral describes it as "bacterial SSU rRNA". It matches the Rfam family "Bacterial small subunit ribosomal RNA", at positions 122 to 776 of the family's 1533-position model. The record is from RNAcentral. Lineage: Bacteria; Bacillati; Bacillota; Bacilli; Lactobacillales; Streptococcaceae.